AGUAACGGGGGCAGCAGUGGGGAAUAUUGGACAAUGGGCGCAAGCCUGAUCCAGCCAUGCCGCGUGAGUGAUGAAGGCCUUAGGGUUGUAAAGCUCUUUUACCCGGGAAGAUAAUGACGGUACCGGGAGAAUAAGCCCCGGCUAACUUCGUGCCAGCAGCCGCGGUAAU
Molecule: ribosomal RNA, 169 nt
Filed under: uncultured Beijerinckiaceae bacterium
Lineage: Bacteria; Pseudomonadati; Pseudomonadota; Alphaproteobacteria; Hyphomicrobiales; Beijerinckiaceae
Description: partial 16S ribosomal RNA
Rfam family: Bacterial small subunit ribosomal RNA
Source: RNAcentral